GGUGGAGAGGAUGAAAGAGGCAUACAUAAAGCUGUACCAGAUGCAGACUGCCCUGAGGUUCGGAGAGCAAGAGCAGCCACAGAAGGAAACUAAAACUGCCCAGAGAGUCAGGGCAAAGCUAGAGAA
This is a long non-coding RNA of Oncorhynchus tshawytscha (Chinook salmon), 126 nucleotides long. RefSeq lists it as uncharacterized. The record is from RefSeq and is a predicted model, not a curated record. Lineage: Eukaryota; Metazoa; Chordata; Actinopteri; Salmoniformes; Salmonidae. The transcript is spliced from 2 exons.